RNAcentral lists this ribosomal RNA (398 nucleotides) under Mastigocladium blochii. Its description in RNAcentral is "Acremonium blochii partial small subunit ribosomal RNA". It matches the Rfam family "Eukaryotic small subunit ribosomal RNA", at positions 30 to 432 of the family's 1831-position model. Lineage: Eukaryota; Fungi; Ascomycota; Sordariomycetes; Hypocreales; Bionectriaceae. The record is from RNAcentral.
GCUUGUCUCAAAGAUUAAGCCAUGCAUGUCUAAGUAUAAGCAAUUAUACAGCGAAACUGCGAAUGGCUCAUUAUAUAAGUUAUCGUUUAUUUGAUAGCACCUUACUACUUGGAUAACCGUGGUAAUUCUAGAGCUAAUACAUGCACAAAAUCCCGACUUACGAAGGGAUGUAUUUAUUAGAUACAAAACCAAUGCCCUCCGGGGCUCACUGGUGAUUCAUGAUAACUUCGCGAAUCGCACAGCCUUGCGCUGGCGAUGGUUCAUUCAAAUUUCUUCCCUAUCAACUUUCGAUGUUUGGGUAUUGGCCAAACAUGGUUGCAACGGGUAACGGAGGGUUAGGGCUCGACCCCGGAGAAGGAGCCUGAGAAACGGCUACUACAUCCAAGGAAGGCAGCAGG